GCACACGGGUGAGUAACGCGUGUGAACGUACCCUUUUCUACGGAAUAACGCAUGGAAACGUGUGCUAAUACCGUAUGUGCCCUUCGGGGGAAAGAUUUAUCGGAAAAGGAUCGGCCCGCGUUGGAUUAGCUAGUUGGUGGGGUAAAGGCCUACCAAGGCGACGAUCCAUAGCUGGUCUGAGAGGAUGAUCAGCCACAUUGGGACUGAGACACGGCCCAAACUCCUACGGGAGGCAGCAGUGGGGAAUAUUGGACAAUGGGCGCAAGCCUGAUCCAGCCAUGCCGCGUGAGUGAUGAAGGCCCUAGGGUUGUAAAGCUCUUUCACCGGUGAAGAUAAUGACGGUAACCGGAGAAGAAGCCCCGGCUAACUUCGUGCCCCAGCCGCGGUAAUACGAAGGGGGCUAGCGUUGUUCGGAUUUACUGGGCGUAAAGCGCACGUAGGCGGAUCGAUCAUUCAGGGGUGAAAUCCCAGAGCUCAACUCUGGAACUGCCUUUGAUACUGUCGAUCUGGAGUAUGGAAGAGGUGAGUGGAAUUCCGAGUGUGAGGUGAAAUUCGUAGAUAUUCGGAGGAACACCAGUGGCGAAGGCGGCUCACUGGUCCAUUACUGACGCUGAGGUGCGAAAGCGUGGGGAGCAAACAGGAUUAUUAUACCCUGGUAGUCCACGCC
This 667-nucleotide ribosomal RNA is filed under the name Rhizobium sp. Its description in RNAcentral is "bacterial SSU rRNA". It matches the Rfam family "Bacterial small subunit ribosomal RNA", at positions 98 to 801 of the family's 1533-position model. Lineage: Bacteria; Pseudomonadati; Pseudomonadota; Alphaproteobacteria; Hyphomicrobiales; Rhizobiaceae. The record is from RNAcentral.